AUACGGAGGGUGCAAGCGUUAUCCGGAAUCACUGGGUUUAAAGGGUGCGUAGGCGGCCUGGUAAGUCAGAGGUGAAAUACACGAGCUUAACUGGUGAAUUGCCUUUGAAACUAUCAAGCUAGAAUUAUGUUGAGGUCAGCGGAAUGAGUCAUGUAGCGGUGAAAUGCAUAGAUAUGACUUAGAACACCAAUUGCGUAGGCAGCUGGCUGGGCAUUGAUUGACGCUGAGGCACGAAAGCGUGGGGAGCGAACAGGAUUAGAAACCCCAGUAGUCC
This 274-nucleotide ribosomal RNA is filed under the name uncultured bacterium. RNAcentral describes it as "partial 16S ribosomal RNA". It matches the Rfam family "Bacterial small subunit ribosomal RNA", at positions 523 to 796 of the family's 1533-position model. The record is from RNAcentral.